GACGAACGCUGGCGGCGUGCUUAACACAUGCAAGUCGAACGGAAAGGCCCUGCUUUUGUGGGGUGCUCAAGUGGCGAACGGGUGAGUAACACGUGAGUAACCUGCCCUUGACUUUGGGAUAACUUCAGGAAACUGGGGCUAAUACCGGAUAGGAGCUCCUGCUGCAUGGUGGGGGUUGGAAAGUUUCGGCGGUUGGGGAUGGACUCGCGGCUUAUCAGCUUGUUGGUGGGGUAGUGGCUUACCAAGGCUUUGACGGGUAGCCGGCCUGAGAGGGUGACCGGCCACAUUGGGACUGAGAUACGGCCCAGACUCCUACGGGAGGCAACAGUGGGGAAUAUUGCACAAUGGGCGGAAGCCUGAUGCAGCAACGCCGCGUGCGGGAUGACGGCCUUCGGGUUGUAAACCGCUUUCGCCUGUGACGAAGCGUGAGUGACGGUAAUGGGUAAAGAAGCACCGGCUAACUACGUG
Molecule: ribosomal RNA, 468 nt
Filed under: uncultured bacterium
Lineage: Bacteria
Description: partial 16S ribosomal RNA
Rfam family: Bacterial small subunit ribosomal RNA
Source: RNAcentral